UCUCCGUAGGUGAACCUGCGGAGGGAUCAUUACCGAGUGAGGGUUCCGGCCCGACCUCCAACCCUUUGUGAAUUCGACCCAGUUGCCUCGGGGGCGACCCGGCCUUCGGGCGUCGGGGCCCCCGGAGGCCAUUAAACACUGCAUCAUUGCGUCGGAGUUUAAGUAAAUUAAACAAAACUUUCAACAACGGAUCUCUUGGUUCGGGCAUCGAUGAAGAACGCAGC
RNAcentral lists this unclassified non-coding RNA (224 nucleotides) under uncultured fungus. RNAcentral describes it as "sequence contains ITS1, 5.8S rRNA gene". The stretch from base 176 to 224 matches the Rfam family "5.8S ribosomal RNA", at positions 1 to 49 of the family's 154-position model. Lineage: Eukaryota; Fungi. The record is from RNAcentral.